Long non-coding RNA from Bubalus bubalis (water buffalo), 1004 nucleotides. RefSeq lists it as uncharacterized. The transcript is spliced from 2 exons. The record is from RefSeq and is a predicted model, not a curated record. Lineage: Eukaryota; Metazoa; Chordata; Mammalia; Artiodactyla; Bovidae.
CUGCCGUGGGGUCCUGCAGGCGGUCCCUCUCCCAUCUGCUUUCUCUAUUAUUCUGAUCGACUCUCGGGGACACCCUUUGUCAACUGUCGAGAGCUAUGCAUAUGACCGGGGUUGAUAUUGUUAUUACUAAGAGGCGCUCGGUUUCGAAAUUGCUUUGAAUUUUCUGGCACCAAAGCUUGGCGGUUCCCGUGCCUGGAAGCCUCGGCCGCGUGGGUGUUUUUUCGUCCCUGUGACUUGCGGAGUGGAAACCCACUCUUGCUUUCCUGCUCGGGAAGACGGUAGUUUGAGACGGGAAACCAGGACUGUGUCACUGCAGAAAGCCGGGAGCAAGACACGCCCCAGAGCUGGUUUAACCUGCUGUGACCAGACUAGCUGAAUUAACUAUCCCUCAACUGGACACAUGACCACUCAUUCCUAUGGAGGACUUUCAUCUGACAAACAUUUUCUCCUCUCCUUUGUCCAUCCCACUGGAGCAUUAACUGGCUACUCCUCCUCCAUCCUGACUCCACCCCCAUCACCUGUCUGCCUCUGCUUCCUCCACCUCACCUAGUCAGUCCCUUGGAUCCUCCCCGAGCCCCACUGCUUAGCUAAGGCUCAUCAGAGCUCACCUGAACUGCGGCAGCCUCCUCCCCAUAUACCCAUCUACCCCAGCUCCAUUCUCCAUAAAAGCAGGUCUCAGCUUGCCACUUCUCUGCUGCUAAUCCUGUUUUGCAUCAGAGGCCAAGGCCCAGCCCUCAGGGACCAACGAGCAGGACAAACCAGGGUGCCUGAAUAAAACAUGCCUCUUCCAGUCAGUCACCCAGGAGAAACUUACUCAUCCCAGGAGGGGAGGCGGGGAAGAAGUUCUAGGGAGGAUUCUGGCCCAGCCAACUCUCAUCAGUCGAGGUGAGGAAGGGGGAGGCGGUGGUGGCUCAGCCUGGGGUAAGGCUAACCCCACUCCACUUACAAACUGCCCUCUGCUUUUCUUAGAUGCUCAACCUCACUCAUAAAAUCUGCUCAGUUGC